RNAcentral lists this ribosomal RNA (589 nucleotides) under uncultured bacterium. RNAcentral describes it as "bacterial SSU rRNA". It matches the Rfam family "Bacterial small subunit ribosomal RNA", at positions 338 to 916 of the family's 1533-position model. The record is from RNAcentral.
CCUACGGGAGGCAGCAGUAAGGAAUAUUGGUCAAUGGACGAAAGUCUGAACCAGCCAUGCCGCGUGAAGGAUGAAGGCCCUCUGGGUUGUAAACUUCUUUUAUCUGGGACGAAAAAAAGGGUAUUCUUACCCACUUGACGGUACCAGAGGAAUAAGCACCGGCUAACUCCGUGCCAGCAGCCGCGGUAAUACGGAGGGUGCAAGCGUUAUCCGGAUUCACUGGGUUUAAAGGGAGCGUAGGUGGGCUGAUAAGUCAGUGGUGAAAUCUCCGGGCUUAACCCGGAAACUGCCAUUGAUACUAUUAGUCUUGAAUUAUCUGGAGGUAAGCGGAAUAUGUCAUGUAGCGGUGAAAUGCUUAGAUAUGACAUAGAACACCAAUUGCGAAGGCAGCUUGCUACGGAUUGAUUGACACUGAGGCUCGAAAGCGUGGGGAGUCAAACAGGAUUAGAUACCCUGGUAGUCCACGCCCUAAACGAUGGAUACUCGACAUCAGCGAUACACUGUUGGUGUCUGAGCGAAAGACAUUAAGUAUCCCACCUGGGAAGUACGACCGACGAAGGUUAGAAACGUACAAAGGAAAGUUAGACGG